GCCCUUGUAGCUCAGUGGAUAGAGCAGCGGUUUCCUAAACCGUGUGUCGGCAGUUCGAUUCUGCCCAAGGGCA
Molecule: transfer RNA, 73 nt
Filed under: [Chlorobium] sp. 445
Lineage: Bacteria; Pseudomonadati; Chlorobiota; Chlorobiia; Chlorobiales; Chloroherpetonaceae
Also listed under: 2 other names
Description: Chlorobium sp. 445 tRNA-Arg
Rfam family: tRNA
About the family: Transfer RNA (tRNA) molecules are approximately 80 nucleotides in length. Their secondary structure includes four short double-helical elements and three loops (D, anti-codon, and T loops).
Source: RNAcentral